CCUACGGGAGGCAGCAGUGAGGAAUAUUGGUCAAUGGACGAGAGUCUGAACCAGCCAAGUAGCGUGAAGGAUGACUGCCCUAUGGGUUGUAAACUUCUUUUAUAAAGGAAUAAAACGAGGCACGUGUGCCUUUUUGCAUGUACUUUAUGAAUAAGGAUCGGCUAACUCCGUGCCAGCAGCCGCGGUCAUACGUAGGAUCCGAGCAUUAUCCGGAGUGACUGGGUGUAAAGAGUUGCGUAGGUGGCAUAAUAAGUAGCUAGUGAAAUCUGGUGGCUCAACCAUUCAGACUAUUAGCUAAACUGUUAAGCUCGAGACCGUUAGGGGUAACUGGAAUUUCUAGUGUAGGAGUGAAAUCCGUAGAUAUUAGAAGGAACACCAAUAGCGUAGGCAGGUUGCUGGGACGGUUCUGACACUAAGGCACGAAAGCGUAGGGAGCAAACGGGAUUAGAUACCCGGGUAGUC
RNAcentral lists this ribosomal RNA (462 nucleotides) under uncultured bacterium. Its description in RNAcentral is "partial 16S ribosomal RNA". It matches the Rfam family "Bacterial small subunit ribosomal RNA", at positions 338 to 795 of the family's 1533-position model. The record is from RNAcentral.